RNAcentral lists this ribosomal RNA (484 nucleotides) under uncultured bacterium. RNAcentral's name for it is "partial 16S ribosomal RNA". It matches the Rfam family "Bacterial small subunit ribosomal RNA", at positions 29 to 507 of the family's 1533-position model. The record is from RNAcentral.
AUUGAACGCUGGCGGCAUGCUUUACACAUGCAAGUCGAACGGCAGCGCGGGCUUCGGCCUGGCGGCGAGUGGCGAACGGGUGAGUAAUACAUCGGAACGUGCCCAGUAGUGGGGGAUAGCUCGGCGAAAGCCGGAUUAAUACCGCAUACGACCUGAGGGUGAAAGCGGGGGAUCUUCGGACCUCGCGCUAUUGGAGCGGCCGAUGGCAGAUUAGCUAGUUGGUGGGGUAAAGGCCUACCAAGGCGACGAUCUGUAGCUGGUCUGAGAGGACGACCAGCCACACUGGGACUGAGACACGGCCCAGACUCCUACGGGAGGCAGCAGUGGGGAAUUUUGGACAAUGGGCGAAAGCCUGAUCCAGCAAUGCCGCGUGUGUGAUGAAGGCCUUCGGGUUGUAAAGCACUUUUGACGGGAACGAAAAGGACUGUGCCAAUACCACGGUUCGAUGACGGUACCCGCAGAAUAAGCACCGGCUAACUACGUG